AGUGAACGCUGGCGGUAGGCCUAACACAUGCAAGUCGAACGGCAGCACAGGGGAGCUUGCUCUCUGGGUGGCGAGUGGCGGACGGGUGAGGAAUACAUCGGAAUCUACUCUGUCGUGGGGGAUAACGGAGGGAAACUUACGCUAAUACCGCAUACGACCUACGGGUGAAAGCAGGGGACCUUCGGGCCUUGCGCGAUUGAAUGAGCCGAUGUCGGAUUAGCUUGUUGGCGGGGUAAAGGCCCACCAAGGCGACGAUCCGUAGCUGGUCUGAGAGGAUGAUCAGCCACACUGGAACUGAGACACGGUCCAGACUCCUACGGGAGGCAGCAGUGGGGAAUAUUGGACAAUGGGCGCAAGCCUGAUCCAGCCAUACCGCGUGGGUGAAGAAGGCCUUCGGGUUGUAAAGCCCUUUUGUUGGGAAAGAAAUCCAGCUGGCUAAUACCCGGUUGGGAUGACGGUACCCAAAGAAUAAGCACCGGCUAACUUCGUGCCAGCCGCCGCAGUAA
RNAcentral lists this ribosomal RNA (506 nucleotides) under uncultured bacterium. RNAcentral's name for it is "partial 16S ribosomal RNA". It matches the Rfam family "Bacterial small subunit ribosomal RNA", at positions 29 to 523 of the family's 1533-position model. The record is from RNAcentral.